RNAcentral lists this ribosomal RNA (429 nucleotides) under Chloroflexota bacterium. RNAcentral describes it as "Chloroflexi bacterium partial 16S ribosomal RNA". It matches the Rfam family "Bacterial small subunit ribosomal RNA", at positions 355 to 776 of the family's 1533-position model. Lineage: Bacteria; Bacillati; Chloroflexota. The record is from RNAcentral.
UGGGGAAUAUUGCACAAUGGGCGCAAGCCUGAUGCAGCCAUGCCGCGUGUGUGAAGAAGGCCUUCGGGUUGUAAAGCACUUUCAGCGGGGAGGAAGGCGGUGAGGUUAAUAACCUCAUCGAUUGACGUUACCCGCAGAAGAAGCACCGGCUAACUCCGUGCCAGCAGCCGCGGUAAUACGGAGGGUGCAAGCGUUAAUCGGAAUUACUGGGCGUAAAGCGCACGCAGGCGGUCUGUCAAGUCGGAUGUGAAAUCCCCGGGCUCAACCUGGGAACUGCAUUCGAAACUGGCAGGCUAUAGUCUUGUAGAGGGGGGUAGAAUUCCAGGUGUAGCGGUGAAAUGCGUAGAGAUCUGGAGGAAUACCGGUGGCGAAGGCGGCCCCCUGGACGAAGACUGACGCUCAGGUGCGAAAGCGUGGGGAGCAAACAGG